CCUACGGGGGGCUGCAGUGGGGAAUAUUGGACAAUGGGGGGAACCCUGAUCCAGCCAUGCCGCGUGUGUGAAGAAGGCCCUCGGGUUGUAAAGCACUUUCAGUGAGGAAGAACGCCUGGUGGUUAAUACCCAUCAGGAAAGACAUCACUCACAGAAGAAGCACCGGCUAACUCCGUGCCAGCAGCCGCGGUAAUACGGAGGGUGCGAGCGUUAAUCGGAAUUACUGGGCGUAAAGCGCGCGUAGGUGGCUUGAUAAGCCGGUUGUGAAAGCCCCGGGCUCAACCUGGGAACGGCAUCCGGAACUGUCAAGCUAGAGUGCAGGAGAGGAAGGUAGAAUUCCCGGUGUAGCGGUGAAAUGCGUAGAGAUCGGGAGGAAUACCAGUGGCGAAGGCGGCCUUCUGGACUGACACUGACACUGAGGUGCGAAAGCGUGGUAGCAAACAGGAUUAGAUACCCGGGUAGUC
This 464-nucleotide ribosomal RNA is filed under the name Vreelandella stevensii. RNAcentral describes it as "partial 16S ribosomal RNA". It matches the Rfam family "Bacterial small subunit ribosomal RNA", at positions 338 to 795 of the family's 1533-position model. Lineage: Bacteria; Pseudomonadati; Pseudomonadota; Gammaproteobacteria; Oceanospirillales; Halomonadaceae. The record is from RNAcentral.